UACGUAGGGUGCAAGCGUUGUCCGGAAUUAUUGGGCGUAAAGAGCGUGUAGGCGGCCAUGUAGGUCCGGUGUGAAAACUCGAGGCUUAACCUCGAGAUGUCAUCGGAAACCAUUUGGCUAGAGUCCGGAAGAGGAGAGUGGAAUUCCUGGUGUAGCGGUGAAAUGCGCAGAUAUCAGGAAGAACACCAAUGGCGAAAGCAGCUUUCUGGGACGGUACUGACGCUGAGACGCGAAAGCGUGGGGAGCGAACAGG
RNAcentral lists this ribosomal RNA (253 nucleotides) under uncultured bacterium. RNAcentral's name for it is "partial 16S ribosomal RNA". It matches the Rfam family "Bacterial small subunit ribosomal RNA", at positions 524 to 776 of the family's 1533-position model. The record is from RNAcentral.